RNAcentral lists this transfer RNA (72 nucleotides) under Rhipicephalus microplus (southern cattle tick). Its description in RNAcentral is "tRNA-Gln". It matches the Rfam family "tRNA". From Rfam's summary of the family: Transfer RNA (tRNA) molecules are approximately 80 nucleotides in length. The record is from Rfam by way of RNAcentral. Lineage: Eukaryota; Metazoa; Arthropoda; Arachnida; Ixodida; Ixodidae.
AGUCUCAUGGUGUAAUGGUUAGCACUCUGGACUUUGAAUCCAGCGAUCAGAGUUCAAAUCUCGGUGAGACCU